ACGAACGCUGGCGGCAUGCCUAACACCUGCCAGUCGAACGUGGCCUUCGGGUCUAGUGGCGCACGGGUGCGUAACGCGUGGGAAUCUACCCUCAGGUUCGGAAUAACUCAGAGAAAUUUGAGCUAAUACCGGAUGAUGACGUAAGUCCAAAGAUUUAUCGCCUGAGGAUGAGCCCGCGUAGGAUUAGGUAGUUGGUGAGGUAAAGGCUCACCAAGCCGACGAUCCUUAGCUGGUCUGAGAGGAUGAUCAGCCACACUGGGACUGAGACACGGCCCAGACUCCUACGGGAGGCAGCAGUGGGGAAUAUUGGACAAUGGGCGAAAGCCUGAUCCAGCAAUGCCGCGUGAGUGAUGAAGGCCUUAGGGUUGUAAAGCUCUUUUACCCGGGAUGAUAAUGACAGUACCGGGAGAAUAAGCUCCGGCUAACUCCGUG
RNAcentral lists this ribosomal RNA (432 nucleotides) under uncultured bacterium. RNAcentral describes it as "partial 16S ribosomal RNA". It matches the Rfam family "Bacterial small subunit ribosomal RNA", at positions 29 to 507 of the family's 1533-position model. The record is from RNAcentral.